RNAcentral lists this ribosomal RNA (281 nucleotides) under uncultured bacterium. Its description in RNAcentral is "partial 16S ribosomal RNA". It matches the Rfam family "Bacterial small subunit ribosomal RNA", at positions 512 to 793 of the family's 1533-position model. The record is from RNAcentral.
UAGCCGCGGUAAUACGGAGGGUGCGAGCGUUAAUCGGAAUUACUGGGCGUAAAGCGCAUGCAGGCGGCCUGUUAAGUCAGAUGUGAAAGCCCGGGGCUUAACCUCGGAAUUGCAUUUGAAACUGGCAGGCUAGAGUCUUGUAGAGGGGGUAGAAUUUCAGGUGUAGCGGUGAAAUGCGUAGAGAUCUGAAGGAAUACCAGUGGCGAAGGCGGCCCCCUGGACAAAGACUGACGCUCAGAUGCGAAAGCGUGGGGAGCAAACAGGAUUAGAUACCCUGGUAG